Non-coding RNA from Papio anubis (olive baboon), 148 nucleotides. The record is from Rfam. Lineage: Eukaryota; Metazoa; Chordata; Mammalia; Primates; Cercopithecidae.
GCUGGGUGUGGUGGUGCGCACCUGUAGUUCCAGCUACUUGGGAGGCUGAGGCAGGAGAAUCACUUGAACCCGGGAGGCGGAGGUUGCAGUGAGCCAAGAUCAGGCUACUGCACUCCAGCCUGGGCAACAGAGUGAGACUCUGUCUCAA